GGACUCAUAGCUCAGUGGUAGAGCGUUCGGCUCAUAACCGAUUGGUCGUAAGUUCAAGUCUUACUGAGUCCA
Molecule: transfer RNA, 72 nt
Filed under: Paenibacillus sp. NAIST15-1
Lineage: Bacteria; Bacillati; Bacillota; Bacilli; Caryophanales; Paenibacillaceae
Description: tRNA-Met
Rfam family: tRNA
About the family: Transfer RNA (tRNA) molecules are approximately 80 nucleotides in length. Their secondary structure includes four short double-helical elements and three loops (D, anti-codon, and T loops).
Source: RNAcentral